This 3305-nucleotide ribosomal RNA is filed under the name Durio zibethinus. RNAcentral describes it as "eukaryotic LSU rRNA". The stretch from base 386 to 3305 matches the Rfam family "Eukaryotic large subunit ribosomal RNA". Lineage: Eukaryota; Viridiplantae; Streptophyta; Magnoliopsida; Malvales; Malvaceae. The record is from RNAcentral.
AAAACUCUCAGAAAUGGAUAUCUUGGUUUUCAUAUUGAUGAAGAAUGUAGCAAAAUGUGACACUUGGUGUGAGUUGUAGAAUCUCGUGAACCAUCGACUCCUUAAACUUAUGCUUCAAGCCAUAAGGCCGAGGGCACACCUACCUGAGUGUCAUGCAUUAUCACUUUUCCAACCCCUUGCCCAUUGGGCUCCGGGUGAGGGGGGACAAAAGAUGGCCUCUCGUGAUCUUGUCUGUUGUGGUUGGUUGAAAAAUGAGUCCCAGUAACGAUGAUACCAUGACCAUUAGUGGUAAAACUCUUGUCGUGCCUCAUCUCUGAUGACGCGUGGUUAUUAUCCAGCUGGACCCCAUCGAACCCCCUGCAUUGCUUGGUCGAUGCUCAUAUCAUGACCCCAUGUUAGGUGGGAUCAUCUACAGAGUUUAAGCAUAUCAAUAAGCAAAAGAAAAGAAACUUACUAGGAUUACCCUAGUAACAGCGGGCAAAUCAAGACAAGCCUAGCUUGAGAAUUAUAGUAUGAAAAAGCAUAUUUGGUAACAAUCCAUGCCCAAGUCCCCUAGAUAGGUGCACUAGAGAAGAUGAGUGCCCCAUUGUGCCUAGAUCCUAUUGCACCAUGAGGCAUUGUCAACGAGUCAAGUUGUUUAGAAAUACAGCCCUAAUUGGGCGAUAAAUUCUGUCUAAGGUUUAACACGAGCGAGAGACCAAUAAUGAACAAGUAUCGUGAGGGAAAGAUGAAAAAGGCUUUGAAAAAAGAGUCAAAAAAUCCUUAAAAUUGUCAUGAAAGAAACUAAUAAGGGUCGAUGAUGCAUCCGAUCAAAUGUGGAAUAGCGAGAGCCAAUUCGCCAAUCGACUUAGGGUAUGGACUGAUGUAAGUUAUAGUAGUAGCCUAAGCUUGACCUUUUAAUAUGCCCAUAAAAACAUCAUCAUCAUGAUCAUGGAAUGCAGCAUGUACCAUCUCAAUGUGCCUCAGCACCCGUGUGCUCCCAGCGUCAGCCUACGAGUUCCCCAUUUAACCUAUGUUGAAACACGGACUAAAGAGUCUAACAUGUGUGUGAGUCAACGGGCUAGAAAACUUGUAAGGUGCAAAGAAGUUGACUAACAAAAUUGCUUGCGGGUGCACCACGACUGACCUUGAUCUUUUGAAAAGGGUUCAAGUGUGAGCAUGCUUGUCGAGACCUGAAAGAUGGUGAACAAUGCUUGAAUGGGGUAAAGCCAGAGGAAACUCUGGUGGACACCUGUAGUGAUACUGACAUGCAAAUAGUUCAUCUAACUUAGGUAUAGGGGCAAAAGACUAAUCGAAUCAUUUAAUAGCUAAUUCCCUUUAAAGUUUCCCUCAGAAUAGUUGGAAUCCUUAACAAGUUCUAUUAGGUAAAGUUAAUGAUUAGAGGCAUUGAGGGUGUAAUGCCUUUGACCUAUUCUCAAACUUUAAAUAGUUAAGACAAUGCGGCUGCUUUGUUAAGCCACACCAUGGAAUCAAGAGCUCUAAUUAGGCCAUUUUUGGUAAACAGAACUAGUAAUGUAAGAUGAACCUAAAGCUAAGUUACAAUGCCUAACUGUAUGCUAACCUAGAACCUAUAAAGGCUGUUGGUUGAUUAAGAUAAUAGGAUGAUAGUCAUGAAUGUCAAAAUCUACUAAAGAGUGUGUAAUAGCUCCCCUACCAAAUCAACUAGACCAAAAAUGGAUGGCGCUUAAGUGCACAACCUAUACCCAACCAUCAAGGCAAGGGUAAGGCCCCCCAAUGAGUAGGAAAGAACGGUAAUCAUUGCAAAACUUGAGGUGUGAGCCCUGGCAAAGUGACUGGAAAAGCACUGCAAGUCACGUGGUAUCUAGUGCAUCUCUGGUGGGCCUUGAAAAUUCAAAGGAUCGAGUGUCAUCCAUGCCCAGUCAUACUUAUAACCACAUCAGGUCUCCAAGCUGAAUAGCCUCUGGUCGAUGGAAUAAUAUAGGCAAGGGAAGUUGGUAAAAUGGAUUUGUAACAUUGGGACAAAGAUUGGCUCUGAGGGUUGGGCAUGGGGGUCCUAGUCCCAAACUCAUCAGUUGUUAAUGCAUUGCUUGAGCCACUCUCAUGGCAAGAAUGAAUCAUCACAUGCCGAUAAAAAGAUAGAUUAGGAAUAGCCCUCUCGGGGGCCUUCCCUGGACAAAAAACAAUUAACUUAAAAUUCGUAUGGACAAGGGGAAUCUAACUAUUUAAUUAAAACAAGGCAUUGUGAUGCUUUUUACGUAUGUUCAUGUAAUGUGAUUUCUACCCAAUGCUUUGAAUGUCAAAAUAAAAAAAUUCAACCAAAUGCGAGUAAAUGAUGGGAGUAACUAUGACUCUCUUAAGGUAACCAAAUGCCUCAUCAUCAAAUUAGUGAUGCACAUGAAUGGAUUAACAAGAUUCUCACUAUCCUUGUCUACUAUCCAGUGAAACCACAGCCAAGGGAAUGAACUUGGCAAAAUCAGGAGGGAAAGAAGACCUUGUUGAGCUUGACUCUAGUUUGACUUUGUGAAAUAACUUGAGAGGUGUAGGAUAAGUGGGAGCCAUCGGGCGAAAUUGAAAUAUCACUACUUUUGACACUAUUUUACUUAUUUCAUGAAUCAAAGAUGGGGCCAUGACCUCUUUUUUUGGACACAAGGUCAACCUCGAUCGAUCAAUUUAGGUGAAAGACAUUGUCAGGUAGAGAAUUUGGCCAAGGCAACAUAUCUAUUAAAAGAUAACACAAGUGUCUUAAGAUUAGCUCAAUAAGAACAGAAAUCUCAUGUGGAACAAAAGGGUAAAAACUCGUUUGAUUCUAAUUUCUAAUACAAAUACGAACUGUGAAAGCAUGGCCUGUCAAUCUUUUAGACCUUUGAAAUUUGAAGCUAGAGGUGGUAGAAAAGUUACCAUAAGGAUAACUAGUUUGUGGCAACCAAGCGUUUAUAGCGACGUUGCUUUUUGAUCAUUCGAUGUUGGCUCUUGCUAUCAUUGUGAAAUAGAAUUCACCAAGUUUUUUAUUGUUCACCCACCAAUAGAGAACAUGAGCUAGGUUUAGACUAUCAUAAAAUAGGUUAGUUUUACCUUACCAAUGGCAAUGUCUCAAUAGUAAUUUAACUUAGCACAAGGAACUAUUGAUUCGCACAAUUGGUCAUUGCAUUUGGAUGAAAAGCCAGUGGCAAAGGUACCAUGGGCUAGAUUAUGACUAAACACCUCUAAGUUAGAAUCUAGGCUAGAAGUAACGCAUGCACCCAUCACCUAAUUGUCGACCCAUAGUAAGGGCCCAUAGGCCCGUAAGGCAUGUGUCGUAGGUGCAACCCUCUCGACGGACAAGCCUCAUUGGCCAUUUUAGAGCU